Molecule: transfer RNA, 76 nt
Filed under: Rhizocola hellebori
Lineage: Bacteria; Bacillati; Actinomycetota; Actinomycetes; Micromonosporales; Micromonosporaceae
Description: tRNA-Ile
Rfam family: tRNA
About the family: Transfer RNA (tRNA) molecules are approximately 80 nucleotides in length.
Source: RNAcentral
GCCCGCGUAGGCCAACAGGUGAGGCCACCGUCCUUAUAAGACGGCGAUUGCGGGUUCAAAUCCCGCCGCGGGUACC